GAAAAUAGGAACCGGGAUUUGUCUACUUUUGGACUGAAAUAACAGGAUUUAGGUAAUUAGGACUGAGAAUGACUGCAGACACAAAAUUGAGAAAAUCUUUAUACCACAAUUAAUGCGUCAUGAUCAGUUGAACUUUUCGGAAUUUACAUGAAUUCAUGGGAAGCUAUAUAGCAACUUUUAAUUGAGAGCUUGUCUGACUAAUACUGUCAUUGAAGAGUUCAUUAUUUUAAGUUUUUAGUGGAAACGGGGAUUUGGGAGAAUAAAACGGCUGGGUAAUGGGAUUUAGAACCUACCACAUUCAGGACGCUCUGCAAGGUCCUUUAUGUAUCCAAAAUAUAGCUCAGUCAGUAGGGCAUGCAUCUUGAAAUCAAUUCCGUUUUUACCUUUAAAACUUUUUAACAAAACAUGGCUUAAUACGCAUAUUGCUAAUAAAUUUAUGUUCUCUGUUAUUUCAGUCUGCCGUAGAGGAGAAUUCCUGAACAAAACUAGUUGUGAUGCUUGUCCUGAAGACACGUACCAACCAAACACGAACAGCAGCCGUUGUUUACCAUGCCCCAAUGGAAGGAUGACGAACGGAAAAACAGGAGCCGACAGUCAUUUGUAUUGUUUAAGAGG
Molecule: non-coding RNA, 615 nt
Organism: Paramuricea clavata
Lineage: Eukaryota; Metazoa; Cnidaria; Anthozoa; Malacalcyonacea; Plexauridae
Source: the annotation of a GenBank genome assembly